Molecule: ribosomal RNA, 623 nt
Filed under: uncultured archaeon
Lineage: Archaea
Description: bacterial SSU rRNA
Rfam family: Archaeal small subunit ribosomal RNA
Source: RNAcentral
GAGAAUAAUCCCCGAUAGAUCACAGUGCCUGGAAUGGCCUGUGGUUCAAAUGAUUUAUCGCCGUAGGAUGGGACUGCGGCCUAUCAGCUAGUUGGUGAGGUAAUGGCCCACCAAGGCUAUAACAGGUACGGGCUCUGAGAGGAGGGGCCCGGAGAUGGGUACUGAGACACGGACCCAGGCCCUAUGGGGCGCAGCAGGCGAGAAACCUUUGCAAUGUGCGAAAGCACGACAAGGUUAAUCCGAGUGUCUCCUGCUAAAGGAGUCUUUUGUCAGUCGUAGAACCACUGGUGAAUAAGGGGUGGGCAAGUUCUGGUGUCAGCCGCCGCGGUAAAACCAGCACCUCGAGUGGUCAGGAGGUUUAUUGGGCCUAAAGCAUCCGUAGCCGGCUGUCUAAGUUUUCGGUUAAAUCUAUGCGCUUAACGUAUAGGCCGCCGAAAAUACUGGACAGCUAGGGAGUGGGAGAGGUACACGGUACUCGAUAGGAAGGGGUAAAAUCCUUUGAUCUAUUGAUGACCACCUGUGGCGAAGGCGGUGUACCAGAACACGUUCGACGGUGAGGGAUGAAAGCUGGGGGAGCAAACCGGAUUAGAUACCCGGGUAGUCCCAGCUGUAAACGAUGCAGA